CAUGAAGACAAUUCUUAUCGUAGUACGGGCGCGCAUGGGCAGGAUGGUGUAACCAUCCGGCGACAGCCUCCCAUGCGCGACACACAGGCUCCCUCGGGGGCCUUUUUUAUUGCCUCUAA
RNAcentral lists this small RNA (119 nucleotides) under Mesorhizobium sp. RMAD-H1. RNAcentral's name for it is "sRNA Atu_C8". It matches the Rfam family "Rhizobiales sRNA Atu_C8". The record is from RNAcentral. Lineage: Bacteria; Pseudomonadati; Pseudomonadota; Alphaproteobacteria; Hyphomicrobiales; Phyllobacteriaceae.